Cordylochernes scorpioides is the source of this 73-nucleotide non-coding RNA. The record is from the annotation of a GenBank genome assembly. Lineage: Eukaryota; Metazoa; Arthropoda; Arachnida; Pseudoscorpiones; Chernetidae.
UCCAAGGUAGCCUAGUGGACAUGGCACCUGCCCGGUAAGCAGAAGGUUGUGGGUUCGAUUCCCGCCCCUGGAC